GCUUCCAAGUGGGCUCCUCUCGCCCCAGGCCCUGGCCCCUGACGUUUCAGUAGCUGUAAGCCAGGCUCUGCUGCUGCCUUUUCACUGGCCUCAACACUGCCCAGUGCCACUGGGAGCUUUGUGCUGGGGGAGGAUAAAUGCACUGGACUGCCCUUAGCCCCGUGUUUGAGAAGCCUUGACAGGUUUGCUCCCAUCACAGCCAGUUGGAUGUGGCUCCUCAGGCCUGAGUCCUGCAGAGGCAGAGGGACAUGCCUGGGAUUGCAUGGGCAGCUGGCAGCAGAGCAGGGAAUCACUGCUGACCCCGGGCAAACGUUCUGAGCAAUGCCCUGUCCUCCCCUAGUACAGGAGUGGGGCUGGAAACAGAGCAAACAGGCUCACACUCAUCCGCUAAACCCUCAGUGAUGAAACAAGAGUCCAUGGCAGAGAAGCAACCAGCUGCAUAGUGAAAACACACCAUUAUUCCUGAACCCCAGUAUAUAAAAAAUACAUCGUUUUAGUACUGGCUGUCUUGGGGGAAGGAAGCUUGAAACACCAAAAGCUCCCUGUUACAUUUGGAUUAAGAUUUGUAUCAUCUGUCCCAUUUGGAGUAGCAAAGACAAUUGAACUGCAGAAAUAGAGUCAAAAAACCCCCAAGUUCUUCUGCACCACAAAUGAACUAAGCAGAAAGUGAUCCAAAGCAAGAAGUUGCACAAGCUGUGGGUAAAACAAAUGCCACAGGUUUUCUGGCUCCUGGUUUGUCCUGAGGUCUGAUGGAACCUGGAUGAGAUUUUUCCAGGUUUCUGCCCUGUUUGGAUUCUCAGGUGCAACCUACAGAGCAACCAGCCCAGCAGCUGGGGAAUCCUGAGAUUUGUCCCCCUUGAAGCCUUGGCAGCUCCUCAUGCCUUCCAGCACUCUGUGGGGAUGAUAUGGGGCAUCCAGACCAUCACAAAAAUAUCAGUGAUCUGGCCCUUUCUGCUGGAGGACAUUGAUUCUUGGCUUCUUUCACUGGAGUUUCCAUUGAGAGACAUCAACAAGAUUUCUGGAAAAGGAAGAGUUUCUUCAUUAUUAACAUAGAUGUUAAAACAUGGACUGGAAAGUGGAGUGUGGACUGAGACAGAAAGUUAGGAGAAAAGCUUCAACUAAUCCUCACAUUAAUCACACCUAAAGAUAUCCCUCAGUGAUCCUGACAUACACCUGAAACAAGUUUUUAGAUAUAGAUGGAAUUGCUGUUCUGCAUAUGUCAGUCUUUUCAGUCUAAAGUGCCUUUUUUUUUUUUUUUUUU
Long non-coding RNA from Passer domesticus (house sparrow), 1261 nucleotides. RefSeq lists it as uncharacterized. The transcript is spliced from 4 exons. Lineage: Eukaryota; Metazoa; Chordata; Aves; Passeriformes; Passeridae. The record is from RefSeq and is a predicted model, not a curated record.